This is a long non-coding RNA of Cynoglossus semilaevis (tongue sole), 4036 nucleotides long. RefSeq lists it as uncharacterized. The record is from RefSeq and is a predicted model, not a curated record. Lineage: Eukaryota; Metazoa; Chordata; Actinopteri; Pleuronectiformes; Cynoglossidae. The transcript has 4 exons.
ACUGGUUAUAUUAAAGCAAUAUGAACCAGAUUCUUACAUUAGUGGUUAAAGAGGGAGUAUAUGGGGAUUCCAAAAUCAUUUGAGAAAGCUUCUGUUCUCAUUUUCAGCAUGCAUUUUGUGCUCCUCGCCUCAACUUGCACGUGUUCCAGUGCAGGGCUGGCUCCCCUCUUUCCUCUGUCCUGUCCCGUCCCAUGCUUGAUCCUCUUCCUUGGAACAGACUUUAUGAAUUUUAUGCUGCUUAUGGAGAAGCUCAUCAAGCUGACCUAUCUAGUAUUCUAUCUCACCUCUCAGCCAGUCAGAGGCUCAGAUCAUUCUCUGUUGCCCACACGACUGCCUCAUUUCUGAUGAAUAUAAUCCAGUUAGCAAGUGUUUGGAAUGACUUUAUUUUGGUUUUAUUGACUCUGACUUCAAACCACUGGUGUGUUCUUAAUGGGUGCAAAAAUUGAAGAAAAAAAAAAAAAAGAUUGGCACCGGAGAGCUUUCCACUGGUCGCACAAAAAGACAGAGCCUCUUAGUUGCACAGGUUUUUUGUAAUGAGUUGCUUUAAUGGAGGGGAACCAACUUGUUUCCCCAUCACUCAGACAGAUAACAUCAGUAAUACCAUGGGCACUGCGACAGUCUUUGAUAUGGAUUUCUGCUUUGACUGUACGGCAAUGAUGGAAAAGUGUUCAAUAUUAAACAGGGCAGAGAAUUGUGAGGGUGUUUCCAGGAAAAUUUAUAUUUAAAAAAAAAUCUCUUUUUGCUGCACAUUGCUAAUGGGUUUCACAGUACUUCUAUCUCUCCAGUUAUUGGAAAAAAAGCAGUUAUAAAUGUACUGUACCCCUGACCUCUGAUUAUGUUAGUAAUAUUUGAGUGCUGGUAUCGGGUCUGGGAAAUGUGUGUGUGAGUGAUGCUUUACCAGGGCUGGCAGAAAACAAGUAUUUCUUAUCGCAGGUUGGAAUUUGUUUUUAUCUUUUAAAUUGCAUGGGCAAUUCUCUGUGCCAUUCCUUUUUUUUUUCUUUUGUUUGUUUGUCCGUGGAAUGACCUACAGAGGUCGUUAGCUAUAACUCUUUUAACUUAUAUUUAGCUUAAAAUGAAUAUUCAUACUUAUGUACCAAUAGGAAGAUCAUGGUACAGUGAGGUAAGAUAUAAGAAGUGGGCUUUUAAACUACUAAAGCGCUCUCUCUCUUUCUCUCUCUCGUGUUAAAACAUGUAAAGAUGUACAUUGUGUGUAUUUUAGGACAAAGGUGGGAUUAUACCUAUAUGAAAUGUAAAAUUGGAAUCUUUGCCUAUUUCACUUCAAACUGCCCCAUGUAUUAAACUGAAUAAACUCAUUUUUUUAAUUCAGCAUGUACCUUUUAUUUUUAAUCCCAUAGAUGUGUGCGUGCUAAAGAGCUGCUGUGACAACCAAUCUUUUCAGAAUCAGCCAAAGUCAAGCUCUGGCCUCUCUAAGGUUACCUUCUGAGCUCCAGAGGACCCUGAGGUAAUGACCGGAAUGCCCAGAACUGAUGGCUCUGUCACUGCAGGUGGAAACACUUUGAUUAUAUUUUGUUGAUCAGUUUAGAGCUGUGGUUCCCAAAGUGUGCGGCAGUCCUCCUAGUGACCAUGGAGCUAUCGCAGAGACAUCAAGGUGAAAACCGGAGAAAACCCACGCUCCGUCCAGACAGACUGCAAGUUACCACUUAGGAUCGAAUCAGUGACUCCUUCCUGUGAGGCAAGUUUUAACCACUUGGUCAGUGUGUGGCCACCUGCUGUCUUGUUCAUGCUAACAUAAAGGACUAUAUUAAGCAGGUUACUAUGCAUCAAGUAUGAUUUAACAAUCUACUUUAAUAAAUAUGUCAAAAUAGAUUUCACACACAUAUUACAUGAUCACGAAUGUUUGGCUUUAAAAUACUGUACACAUGGGGACUGCAGAAAUUUAUGUUAGCUUUGCAGGACAGCGGCUUCCAGUGCUUUUUGUUCAAACCUUUAUGUCCCAACCUCAGAGAGAAGUUAAAAUAUGUCCAAGAGCUAAUAAGAUACUAAUUCUCAAAGGGAUUGUUUAAUGUGUUCGUGUGCACGCAAAAGUAUUAGCUACAGCCAACAACCGGUGAUUCCGUGUUCAACAUUCCUCCUCGUAGCUCAGGGAGCUACAUGAAUUGACACGCUUUUAAAUGUGCAGCGUAAAAACAAUUUCGGGAAGAAUUCCUAUCAAGAACUGCUAUGUAUUCUGUCGACACAGAGGUGCAGCCACAUCCUCAGGAGCAGCAGGCCUGUGUUUGUACCCAUCAAUCACACUGGGCCUCCUCUAACUUAAUAAGAACAGACAGGAAACCUCUGCACUUGUUUGGUGUGAACCUCUGGCACUGAGUCCAUGUAAGUCAAAUCACCUAUAACAGGGGCUGUAAUUGAGUUUCAACAUAUUUGAUAUUCUGUCAAUCUAAUUUAAACCUAAAUGAUUGUACUGUAACACACACUUGUUAUUAUCGGAAACACGGCAGCCUGCGCGCAGACCUUAAGCAGAUCAGGGGACGCGGACUCCUCACCCUGGAAGAGAAAAUUCCUGUCACCGCAGGGGUUGCUUUCAUCCCAGCCUCGGGUUACUGUAGCAAUAAGCAGAAAGGCCUCAGAACAGACAGGCGGCGGCUGCCUGUAGAAACAAAAUGGAAGGAUGAGUAAUUUCGUUCAUCACACCACCUACCUUAAUUCCCUGCGUUCGUGGUGCCACUGUCCCUUGUGGUGCAGCCCUGACCACACACCGCCUGUCUCGUAUUUCAGGCCCUUGUCGUCAUUCAGCGUAUCACAACGCCCGUCAGGAUCUCACUCGAGCUACUGCUACAUCAUGGAAGCAAAUACGCAUAUACCCAGGCCAUUGGCUUCCAUAAUAAACUAAUCACUUUGUAUCAACAUGGGCUGGGUGUAGGUUUUCCACAUGCCUCAGAGCUUUUCAUGGAGUAGCCCCAUGCUCCUGCUGCAGCGCUGUGCUGUCAACAAAAAAAAAAAAGAAAGAAAAAAAAUCCCCGUUAAUAAACUUCUUUUUGGGUGAGAUGAUUGGCAUGUAUAGAAACAAAUUCAUUAUUUUGUUUAAACAAUCAGGCCUCCGUGUUGUAAUUGCACUGCUUAUUUUUCUUUGAGAAGCUGAUUUCAAUUUUGGAGUUGUACCAGAGAAUUUGUUGUAAACUACUGAGACCGAAAGACUUACAGUUUCUUUGCCUUUGAUGAAAAGAGGAGGUCUGGAAGGCCUUGGAAGCAGACCUCAUCCCAGUGAAGUUUAGAGUCAGGGAUCAGAGGUUGACAUUUUCCUCAGGGACUUGGUGGGGUCUUGCAGCUGUAGGCUGUAAUAAGGUUAACCCUUAUUACACAUUCACAUCACUGUUUUGUGGACAUUUUCCCUCCUUUGGGUUUGGAUGUAACUUGAGUUAAGGUCUAUUACUUCAAACUACAGGAAACUCAGUCUCUCGUCUCGUAUAGAAGACAAUUGAAUUUGAAAACAUGGAGUCCACCUGUAUCUCUCCCACCCUCCCAUGAACAAGCAUAAGUCAAAUAAAGUUCUCUCCAAGGUCUUACCCAGGUCGUACAAACACGAUAUACUUUACGAGUUCAGGUCUUUUAUUCUCUUCCAGCGCUGUUUGUCCAUCGUCCACUUUAUCCUAGAGUUUCCUUUUAAUCAGAUUUUCUAGAGAAACAAAGAUGUGACAAGUGUUUUGCAACCCACAUGUCCUGCAAGACUCAUUUAGCGGAGUUCAACCACAGGUGCCUGUGUCUGUUUAAUGGCAUUAACUCCAAACUCUGGUUACACUCGGCUUCUCAAUGUAAAAAUAAACAGAAAUCAAUUGCACUCACAAGGGUGAGUCAAAAAGUGAAAACAACUGAACUAUUUUUCUGAAUAUUAUCAAGAGUAUUUUUAUUGAAGAAUUUUAACGUUGUAGAACUCUGAGGGGCAUCUUUUGCUCCAUGUCACAAACCUGACUAGUUGUCUUGUCUAAGUAUCCAUCCAUCCAUUUUCAUCCGCUUAUCGGGUCGCGGGGGCAGCAGUCGCCACCCAAAUCACAUUGCACCGUACCAACCCCCCAAACCU